UACAGAGGGUGCGAGCGUUAAUCGGAUUUACUGGGCGUAAAGGGCACGUAGGCGGUAGAAUGUGUGUGAUGUGAAAGCCCCGGGCUCAACCUGGGAAGUGCAUCGCAAACUAUUUAACUAGAGUAGAUGAGAGGGUGGCGGAAUUUCCGGUGUAGCGGUGAAAUGCGUAGAGAUCGGAAGGAACGUCAAUGGCGAAGGCAGCCACCUGGCAUCAUACUGACGCUGAGGUGCGAAAGCGUGGGGAGCGAACAGG
This 253-nucleotide ribosomal RNA is filed under the name uncultured bacterium. Its description in RNAcentral is "partial 16S ribosomal RNA". It matches the Rfam family "Bacterial small subunit ribosomal RNA", at positions 524 to 776 of the family's 1533-position model. The record is from RNAcentral.